UUCCCAACAUCAUUUUUGUGUGUGUGGCCAUCCUUUCCAUUCAUAUUGUUGUGCUGUUAGUGAUCUAAUCAGCACCCUUGGGUUCAAUAAGCAUAUCUAAGAAGAUGAUUCCCAGAUAUGCAUAUCUAUCCCUAACUUCUCUCCUAAACUCUAGUCUUCCAUCACUUAACUUCCUCAUGGACAUCUCAAAAAUGGAUGCCCAUAAGGAUCUCAAACUCAACAUAUGUAAAAGAGAACUCAUUAUCUUAGACCCAAACAAGGAAGCUAGUCUACCUGUGCUCCAAUGCAUUGUUCAGAAGCUAAGUGCCAUCAUUCCCCCGCCCCCUCCCCCUCAGGUCAGACACACUGGGGCACUUCCUGCCCACGUUGGGCAAGGUUUGGACUCACCAGGGGAUCGCCAAGCUGUACCACAAAGUGAGCCAAAACGGCUACAAGUUCCUCUACUGCUCGGCCAGGGCCAUCGGGAUGGCGGACAUGACGCGCGGCUACCUGCACUGGGUCAACCAACGGGGGACGGUGCUGCCCCAGGGGCCGCUGCUGCUCAGCCCCAGCAGCCUCUUCUCCGCCCUGCACAGGUAGGACGAGGAGGCCCCGGCCCAAGGUCUGCGCUCGGACCCUGCACCCCCAGCCACCAACGGCCCCCUCUGGUUGUCCCAGAGGAGGCUCAGGCUUCCCCGGCUCUGGCCAGGCCCUUCCAAAGGCCCCCGAGAAGCCGUGCGAGCCCGCCGGGAAAGAGGGAGCCGGCCAAGGCCCUCACAGAGCCUCAGAACUGGAGAGGCCUGAAGGGAAAGCAGCCGCGGGGCCCAUGAGAUGCGCUCCCCAAAAUGGCCCUGGCUGGCUCCCUGCUUCUUCUUGAGGUUCUCAGCUCCGCGAGGGCCCUCUGUGUGCCCAGAGCUGUCUGGGCCAGGCUGGACCUGAGGGCCCCCUCUCUGCUCCCCAGCUCCCCCUCUGCUCCUCCAGCUCCUCCUGGCUCCCCCCAGCUCCUCCUGGCUCCCCCGGCUCCUCUUGGCUCCCCUCGGCUCCUCCUGGCUCCCCCUGGCUCCCCCCUUCCCCCCUCUGCUCCCCCAGCUCUUCCUGGCUCCCCCCAGCUCCUCCUGGUUCCCCCCGGCUGCUCCUGGCUCCCCCCGGCUCCUCCUGGCUCCCCCUGGCUCCCCCCGGCUCCUCCUGGCUCCCCCUGGCUCCCCCUGGCUCCUCCUGGCUCCCCCUGGCCCCCCUCUGCUCCCCCAGCUCCUCCUGGUUCCCCCCGGCUGCUCCUGGCUCCCCCCUUCCCCCCUCUGCUCCCCCAGCUCUUCCUAGCUCCCCCCAGCUCCUCCUGGCUCCCCCCGACCCCCCUCUGCUCCCCCAGCUCCUCCUAGUUCCCCCCGGCUGCUCCUGACUCCCCCCAGCUCCUCCUGGCUCCCCCUGGCUCCCCCCAGCUCCUCCUGGCUCCCCCCGGCCCCCCUCUGCUCCCCCAGCUCCUCCUGGCUCCCCCUGGCUCCUCCUGGCUCCCCCUGGCCCCCCUCUGCUCCCCCAGCUCUUCCUGGCUCCCCCCAGCUCCUCCUGGCUCUCCCUCUGUUCCUAGUGACCGGCUAGCCGGGGUCUCAGUUCACAACUGAUGGUCCGACCA
Molecule: long non-coding RNA, 1606 nt
Filed under: Monodelphis domestica (gray short-tailed opossum)
Lineage: Eukaryota; Metazoa; Chordata; Mammalia; Didelphimorphia; Didelphidae
Description: lncRNA (ENSMODG00000050559.1)
Source: RNAcentral